This is a long non-coding RNA of Nyctereutes procyonoides (raccoon dog), 1180 nucleotides long. RefSeq lists it as uncharacterized. The record is from RefSeq and is a predicted model, not a curated record. Lineage: Eukaryota; Metazoa; Chordata; Mammalia; Carnivora; Canidae. The transcript is spliced from 2 exons.
CCCACCUGCCGGCUCGCCCAGGUGCGCGGGGCGCGGCCACGCCGGACCUGCCCACAGCCCCCGCGCGUGGGGCCCCGCCGGAGCCCGGCCGGCAGGUGACACAAACACCAGGCAAUGACAAAACAGUAAUGACAAAGUGCUGAGAGCGCCACCACCGAUGGAUGCAGACAAGUACAAGAGGUACACAGAAGGGACCCUGAAUCCCAGCUUGGGGAUGGCCAGGGAAGGUUUACAGAGCGGGGACAGAGCUGGUUAGCCUUGAGGAGUGAGGAAGAAGGCAGGGGCUUCUGCACAGAGGGAAUGCCCCGCACAAAGCCCAGAAGAGAGAAGGCUAAAACACACGGUGGCAUUCUGCACGUAGAGCCUGCCAGAGGGUGCGAGCUGUGAAGAGAAGCAUUGGAGGAGGACAUGGGUAGCUGCUUCUCUCCUGAGGACUGGGGGUGCAUCUCCAUCCCUGGUGAGCAAGGAGGCAAGAGAGAGGGGCUGGGGCCUGGGUGUGGCCCUGCACCUAGUUAGGGCUAGAAACAGCCGGCAAGGCCUUAGGGAAACUAUGCAGAAUAAAUACAUUUUUCUUGAUUUUCUUUCAAAAACCUAGAAAGGCGUGUCUAACAUCAAUGCUGUAAAACUCCAUGGAACUAGACGUCCCUCAGUGUCGAUUCCAGGAUGGUCUGUCGAUUCCAGUCUUGGUUAUGUGACUCUGGACAAGAACUUGAGCCAUGACUUGUAGAGCAUACGUAGGGGUUCAAUAAAAUAACUACUUUUUAGUAGGGAAGGAGGGAAAAGGAGGAAGGGGUAGGGGGAAGAGGAAAUCAGAUCUGUCCUUCAGUUUGGAGGCUUCAGUCCACAGCCUCCGGGCCAUUUCUGCCUACGUCAGCAGUUCUCCAAGGGUGAACUUGGGAAGUCAUGGGGUCAUUUAUGGUUGUCGCCAUGACCAGGGUUUUCUGAUAUUUUGCACGCAAGGGGCAUCGUGCAGAGUGAGAUUCUCAACAAGAAUUGUUUCAUUUAACAAAAACGUCCUGCUGGACAUACACGUAGGUGGAAAAACCUAUUUAUCGUUAUCCGAGCCUAGACUAUAACUUGAUUUUAUGUAUAAAACACAGGUUGGUAUUUUUGUUGUUGUUGUGUAUAUACUUAAAAUUUCCAGGAUCACAACUGAGUAAAUAAAAAAAAGAUGAUACUG